Molecule: small RNA, 148 nt
Filed under: Macaca fascicularis (crab-eating macaque)
Lineage: Eukaryota; Metazoa; Chordata; Mammalia; Primates; Cercopithecidae
Description: Metazoan signal recognition particle RNA (ENSMFAG00000050481.1)
Source: Rfam by way of RNAcentral
GCCGGGUGUGGUGGCACACACCUGUAGUCCCAGCUACUUGGGAGGCUGAAACAGAAGAAUUGCUUGAACCCAGAAGGCGGAGGUUGCAGUGAGCUGAGAUCGCGCCACUGCACUCCAGUCUGGGUGACAGAGCAAGACUCUGUCUCAA